CUCGAAUCCUUGGAACCUAGGUGUGAGUGCCGUUCUGAUGCAACACACCUAUUCAAGGAUUCAAA
Molecule: microRNA precursor, 65 nt
Organism: Vicugna pacos (alpaca)
Lineage: Eukaryota; Metazoa; Chordata; Mammalia; Artiodactyla; Camelidae
Source: Ensembl